CAUACCGCCUUGGGGUGCUGGAAUUACGGCCGGCUGAGAGUGUAUCCCGCAAGAUACUGACCCUUAUACCUGAUCUGGAUAAUGCCAGCGUAGGAAAGUCCAAAAGCGUGUGG
This 113-nucleotide non-coding RNA is filed under the name Paenibacillus sabinae. RNAcentral's name for it is "TPP sequence". It matches the Rfam family "TPP riboswitch aptamer (THI element)". Rfam says of the family: Vitamin B(1) in its active form thiamin pyrophosphate (TPP) is an essential coenzyme that is synthesised by coupling of pyrimidine and thiazole moieties in bacteria. The previously detected thiamin-regulatory element, thi box was extended, resulting in a new, highly conserved RNA secondary structure, the THI element, which is widely distributed in eubacteria and also occurs in some archaea. The record is from RNAcentral. Lineage: Bacteria; Bacillati; Bacillota; Bacilli; Caryophanales; Paenibacillaceae.